RNAcentral lists this ribosomal RNA (328 nucleotides) under uncultured marine eukaryote. RNAcentral's name for it is "bacterial SSU rRNA". It matches the Rfam family "Eukaryotic small subunit ribosomal RNA". The record is from RNAcentral.
AACCUGGUUGAUCCUGCCAGUAGCAUACGCUUGUCUCAAAGAUUAAGCCAUGCAUGUCUAAGUAUAAACAACUCUAUACUGUGAAACUGCGAAUGGCUCAUUAAAUCAGUUAUAGUUUAUUUGAUGGUUCUUGCUACUUGGAUAACCGUAGUCCCUGCCCUUUGUACACACCGCCCGUCGCACCUACCGAUUGAAUGGUUCGGUGAAAAUCUCGGACCGCGGCUUGGAUGCCUUCGGGCAACCAGGCGGUGGAAAGUUGUUUAAACCUCAUCAUUUAGAGGAAGGUGAAGUCGUAACAAGGUUUCCGUAGGUGAACCUGCAGAAGGAU